This is a small nuclear RNA of 150 nucleotides. Its record names the gene U1. It matches the Rfam family "U1 spliceosomal RNA". Rfam says of the family: U1 is a small nuclear RNA (snRNA) component of the spliceosome (involved in pre-mRNA splicing). Its 5' end forms complementary base pairs with the 5' splice junction, thus defining the 5' donor site of an intron. There are significant differences in sequence and secondary structure between metazoan and yeast U1 snRNAs, the latter being much longer (568 nucleotides as compared to 164 nucleotides in human). The record is from Ensembl.
AUACUUACCUGGCAGGGGAGAUACCGUGUUCCAGAUGGCGGUUCUCCCAGGGCGAGGCUCUGACUUGCUGAUCCCUCCAAAUUCCACAAAUCUGGGAAUCUUGACUGCAUCAUUUCUGGUAGUGGGGGUCUGAAUUCACGCUCUCUCCUG